AAAUUGAAGAGUUUGAUCAUGGCUCAGAUUGAACGCUGGCGGCAGGCCUAACACAUGCAAGUCGAGCGGAAACGACAUUAUUGAAUCUUCGGAGGAUUUAAUGGGCGUCGAGCGGCGGACGGGUGAGUAAUGCCUAGGAAAUUGCCUUGAUGUGGGGGAUAACCAUUGGAAACGAUGGCUAAUACCGCAUAAUGCCUACGGGCCAAAGAGGGGGACCUUCGGGCCUCUCGCGUCAAGA
This 238-nucleotide ribosomal RNA is filed under the name Vibrio splendidus. Its description in RNAcentral is "partial 16S ribosomal RNA". It matches the Rfam family "Bacterial small subunit ribosomal RNA", at positions 1 to 225 of the family's 1533-position model. The record is from RNAcentral. Lineage: Bacteria; Pseudomonadati; Pseudomonadota; Gammaproteobacteria; Vibrionales; Vibrionaceae.